CAUGAUCGUAAGGACAUGUGGAGCGCUUAGAAGUGAGAAUGCCGGUGUGAGUAGCGAAAGACGGGUGAGAAUCCCGUCCACCGAUUGACUAAGGUUUCCAGAGGAAGGCUCGUCCGCUCUGGGUUAGUCGGGUCCUAAGCUGAGGCCGACAGGCGUAGGCGAUGGAUAACAGGUUGAUAUUCCUGUACCACCUAUAAUCGUUUUAAUCGAUGGGGGGACGCAGUAGGAUAGGCGAAGCGUGCGAUUGGAUUGCACGUCUAAGCAGUAAGGCUGAGUAUUAGGCAAAUCCGGUACUCGUUAAGGCUGAGCUGUGAUGGGGAGAAGACAUUGAGUCUUCGAGUCGUUGAUUUCACACUGCCGAGAAAAGCCUCUAGAUAGAAAAUAGGUGCCCGUACCGCAAACCGACACAGGUAGUCAAGAUGAGAAUUCUAAGGUGAGCGAGCGAACUCUCGUUAAGGAACUCGGCAAAAUGACCCCGUAACUUCGGGAGAAGGGGUGCUCUUUAGGGUUAACGCCCAGAAGAGCCGCAGUGAAUAGGCCCAAGCGACUGUUUAUCAAAAACACAGGUCUCUGCUAAACCGUAAGGUGAUGUAUAGGGGCUGACGCCUGCCCGGUGCUGGAAGGUUAAGAGGAGUGGUUAGCUUCUGCGAAGCUACGAAUCGAAGCCCCAGUAAACGGCGGCCGUAACUAUAACGGUCCUAAGGUAGCGAAAUUCCUUGUCGGGUAAGUUCCGACCCGCACGAAAGGCGUAACGAUUUGGGCACUGUCUCAACGAGAGACUCGGUGAAAUCAUAGUACCUGUGAAGAUGCAGGUUACCCGCGACAGGACGGAAAGACCCCGUGGAGCUUUACUGUAGCCUGAUAUUGAAAUUCGGCACAGCUUGUACAGGAUAGGUAGGAGCCUUUGAAACGUGAGCGCUAGCUUACGUGGAGGCGCUGGUGGGAUACUACCCUAGCUGUGUUGGCUUUCUAACCCGCACCACUUAUCGUGGUGGGAGACAGUGUCAGGCGGGCAGUUUGACUGGGGCGGUCGCCUCCUAAAAGGUAACGGAGGCGCUCAAAGGUUCCCUCAGAAUGGUUGGAAAUCAUUCAUAGAGUGUAAAGGCAUAAGGGAGCUUGACUGCGAGACCUACAAGUCGAGCAGGGUCGAAAGACGGACUUAGUGAUCCGGUGGUUCCGCAUGGAAGGGCCAUCGCUCAACGGAUAAAAGCUACCCCGGGGAUAACAGGCUUAUCUCCCCCAAGAGUUCACAUCGACGGGGAGGUUUGGCACCUCGAUGUCGGCUCAUCGCAUCCUGGGGCUGUAGUCGGUCCCAAGGGUUGGGCUGUUCGCCCAUUAAAGCGGUACGCGAGCUGGGUUCAGAACGUCGUGAGACAGUUCGGUCCCUAUCCGUCGUGGGCGUAGGAAAUUUGAGAGGAGCUGUCCUUAGUACGAGAGGACCGGGAUGGACAUACCUCUGGUGUACCAGUUGUCGUGCCAACGGCAUAGCUGGGUAGCUAUGUGUGGACGGGAUAAGUGCUGAAAGCAUCUAAGCAUGAAGCCCCCCUCAAGAUGAGAUUUCCCAACUUCGGUUAUAAGAUCCCUCAAAGAUGAUGAGGUUAAUAGGUUCGAGGUGGAAGCAUGGUGACAUGUGGAGCUGACGAAUACUAAUCGAUCGAAGACUUAAUCAA
RNAcentral lists this ribosomal RNA (1670 nucleotides) under Staphylococcus aureus subsp. aureus CIG1165. RNAcentral describes it as "bacterial LSU rRNA". It matches the Rfam family "Bacterial large subunit ribosomal RNA", at positions 1256 to 2925 of the family's 2925-position model. Lineage: Bacteria; Bacillati; Bacillota; Bacilli; Caryophanales; Staphylococcaceae. The record is from RNAcentral.